RNAcentral lists this ribosomal RNA (265 nucleotides) under uncultured bacterium. Its description in RNAcentral is "partial 16S ribosomal RNA". It matches the Rfam family "Bacterial small subunit ribosomal RNA", at positions 88 to 354 of the family's 1533-position model. The record is from RNAcentral.
CCGGCGACCGGCGCACGGGUGAGUAACACGUAUGCAACCUGCCCUCUUCAGGGGGACAACCUUCCGAAAGGGAGGCUAAUCCCGCGUAUAUCGGUUUCGGGCAUCCGAGAUCGAGGAAAGAUUCAUCGGAAGAGGAUGGGCAUGCGGCGCAUUAGCUAGACGGCGGGGUAACGGCCCACCGUGGCGACGAUGCGUAGGGGUUCUGAGAGGAAGGUCCCCCACACUGGUACUGAGACACGGACCAGACCCCUACGGGAGGCAGCAG